UCAAGUAAAGGAAGAGCACAAGGUGGAUGCCUUGGCAGCUGAAGGCGAUGAAGGACGUGGUAACCUGCGAUAAGCUUCGGGGAGCUGGUAAACAAGCUUCGAUCCGGAGAUGUCCGAAUGGGAAAACCCAGUAUGCAUAAGCAUAUUAUCCUAUUUUGAAUUCAUAGAAAUAGGAGGCUAACCUAGGGAACUGAAACAUCUAAGUACCUAGAGGAAAAGAAAUCAAUUGAGAUUCUGUUAGUAGCGGCGAGCGAACGCGGAACAGCCCUUAAGCUUGUUUUAAUUUAGCAAAACAUUCUGGAAAGUUUGGCCAUAGUAGGUGAUAGCCCUGUAUGCGAAAAGUUAAUUCAAGUGAAAACGAGUAGGUCGGGACACGUGAAAUCUUGACUGAAUAUGGGGGGACCAUCCUCCAAGGCUAAAUACUCUCAGCUGACCGAUAGUGAACCAGUACCGUGAGGGAAAGGCGAAAAGAACCCCGGCUAGGGGAGUGAAAUAGAACCUGAAACCUUGUGCUUACAAGCAGUCGGAGCUCACUUGUUGGGUGACGGCGUACCUUUUGUAUAAUGGGUCAACGACUUAAUUUCAGUAGCAAGCUUAACUCUAUAAGGUAGGCGCAGGGAAACCGAGUCUUAACUGGGCGUUCAGUUGCUGGAAUUAGACCCGAAACCGAGUGAUCUAUCCAUGGCCAGGGUGAAGGUUAGGUAACACUGACUGGAGGCCCGAACCCACUUAUGUUGAAAAAUGAGGGGAUGAGCUGUGGAUAGGAGUGAAAGGCUAAUCAAACUCGGAGAUAGCUGGUUCUCUUCGAAAACUAUUUUAGGUAGUGCCUCAUGUAUUACCAUUGGGGGUAGAGCACUGUUUCGGCUAGGGGGUCAUCCCGACUUACCAAACCGAUGCAAACUCCGAAUACCAAUGAGUAUGAGCAUGGGAGACAGACUGCGGGUGCUAACGUCCGUAGUCGAGAGGGAAACAACCCAGACCGUCAGCUAAGGUCCCUAAUCAUGAUUAAGUGGGAAACAAUGUGGGAAGGCACAAACAGCUAGGAGGUUGGCUUAGAAGCAGCCAUCCUUUAAAGAAAGCGUAACAGCUCACUAGUCGAGUCGGCCUGCGUGGAAGAUAUAACGGGGCUAAAUCAUGAACCGAAGCUACGGAUCUUCAUUGAAGAUGGUAGAAGAGCGUUCCGUAAGCUGUUGAAGGUGUACCGUGAGGUAUGCUGGAGGUAUCGGAAGUGCGAAUGUUGACAUGAGUAACGAUCAAAGGGGUGAAAAACCCCUUCGCCGAAAAACUAAGGGUUCCUGUCCAACGCUAAUCGAGGCAGGGUGAGUCGGCUCCUAAGGCGAGGGCGAAAGCCGUAGUCGAUGGGAAACAGGUUAAUAUUCCUGUACUUUUUAUAACUGCGAUGGGGUGACGGAGAAGGUUAGGCUAGCACGGCGCUGGUUGUCCGUGUUUAAGGUUGUAGGUUGGUAGUUUUGGUAAAUCCGGACUACUAAGACUGAGAGCUGAUGACGAUUAACUAAUGUUAAGAAGUAGCUAAUACCAUGCUUCCAGGAAAAACCUCUAAGCUUCAGGUUAUAAGAAACCGUACCCGAAACCGACACAGGUGGUUAGGUAGAGAAUACCAAGGUGUUUGAGAGAACUUGGGUGAAGGAACUAGGCAAAAUGACACCGUAACUUCGGGAGAAGGUGUGCCGUAGUUAGUGAUUAGACUUGCUCUAUGAGCUGAUUAUGGUCGAAGAUACCAGGUGGCUGCGACUGUUUACUAAAAACAUAGCACUCUGCAAACUCGUAAGAGGACGUAUAGGGUGUGACGCCUGCCCGGUGCCGGAAGGUUAAUUGAUGGAGUUAGCUUCGGCAAAGCUCUUGAUCGAAGCCCCGGUAAACGGCGGCCGUAACUAUAACGGUCCUAAGGUAGCGAAAUUCCUUGUCGGGUAAGUUCCGACCUGCACGAAUGGCGUAACGAUGGCCACACUGUCUCCACCCAAGACUCAGUGAAAUUGAAAUCGCUGUUAAGAUGCAGUGUACCCGCAGCUAGACGGAAAGACCCCGUGCACCUUUACUACAGGUUCACACUGGACUUUGACUUUAUUUGUGUAGGAUAGGUGGGAGACUUUGAAGCUAAGACGCUAGUCUUAGUGGAGUCGUCCUUGAAAUACCACCCUUGUAAAAUUGAGG
This 2172-nucleotide ribosomal RNA is filed under the name marine metagenome. RNAcentral describes it as "bacterial LSU rRNA". It matches the Rfam family "Bacterial large subunit ribosomal RNA", at positions 1 to 2219 of the family's 2925-position model. The record is from RNAcentral.